Molecule: ribosomal RNA, 463 nt
Filed under: uncultured Glomus
Lineage: Eukaryota; Fungi; Glomeromycota; Glomeromycetes; Glomerales; Glomeraceae
Description: SSU rRNA
Rfam family: Eukaryotic small subunit ribosomal RNA
Source: RNAcentral
AGCAGCCACGGUAAUUCCAGCUCCAAUAGCGUAUAUUAAAGUUGUUGCAGUUAAAAAAGCUCGUAGUUGAAUUUCGGGAUCAGUAGGUUGGUCGUGCCACUGGUAUGUACUGGCCUUACUGAUUCCUCCUUCUUGAAGAACCGUAAUGUCAUUAACUUGGUGUUGCGGGGAAACAGGACUGUUACCUUGAAAAAAUUAGAGUGUUUAAAGCAGGCCAGCGCCUGAAUACAUUAGCAUGGAAUAAUGAAAUAGGACGUUCGAUCCUAUUUUGUUGGUUUCUAGGAUUGACGUAAUGAUUAAUAGGGAUAGUUGGGGGCAUUAGUAUUCAAUUGUCAGAGGUGAAAUUCUUGGAUUUAUUGAAGACUAACUACUGCGAAAGCAUUUGCCAAGGAUGUUUUCAUUAAUCAAGAACGAAAGUUAGGGGAUCGAAGACGAUCAGAUACCGUCGUAGUCUUAACCAUAA